AUUGAACGCUGGCGGCAUGCCUUACACAUGCAAGUCGAACGGCAGCGCGGGUGCUUGCACCUGGCGGCGAGUGGCGAACGGGUGAGUAAUACAUCGGGACGUGCCCUAGAGUGGGGGAUAACUAGUCGAAAGAUUAGCUAAUGCCGCAUACGAUCUAAGGAUGCAAGGGGGGGACAGGAAGGCCUCAUUCUCAUGGAGCGGCCGAUGACUGAUUAGCUAGUUGGUGGGGUAAUAGCCUACCAAGGCGACGAUCAGUAGCUGGUCUGAGAGGACGACCAGCAACACUGGGACUGAGACACGGCCCAGACUCCUACGGGAGGCAGCAGUGGGGAAUUUUGGACAAUGGGGGCAACCCUGAUCCAGCAAUGCCGCGUGUGUGAAGAAGGCCUUCGGGUUGUAAAGCACUUUUGUCAGGAACGAAACGGUGGGGGCUAAUACCUCCUGCUAAUGACGGUACCUGAAGAAUAAGCACCGGCUAACUACGUGCCAGCCGCCGCCGUAA
Molecule: ribosomal RNA, 502 nt
Filed under: uncultured bacterium
Lineage: Bacteria
Description: partial 16S ribosomal RNA
Rfam family: Bacterial small subunit ribosomal RNA
Source: RNAcentral